RNAcentral lists this ribosomal RNA (253 nucleotides) under uncultured bacterium. RNAcentral's name for it is "partial 16S ribosomal RNA". It matches the Rfam family "Bacterial small subunit ribosomal RNA", at positions 524 to 776 of the family's 1533-position model. The record is from RNAcentral.
UACGUAGGGUGCGAGCGUUAAUCGGAAUUACUGGGCGUAAAGCGUGCGCAGGCGGCUUUGCAAGACAGAUGUGAAAUCCCCGGGCUCAACCUGGGAACUGCAUUUGUGACUGCAAGGCUAGAGUACGGCAGAGGGGGAUGGAAUUCCGCGUGUAGCAGUGAAAUGCGUAGAUAUGCGGAGGAACACCAAUGGCGAAGGCAAUCCCCUGGGCCUGAACUGACGCUCAUGCACGAAAGCGUGGGGAGCAAACAGG